UACGCAGGGAGCAAGCGCUAAUCGCAAUUACUGAUGGUAAAGCACACGUAAGCCCUCACUUAAAUCGGAUGUGAAAUCCCCGGGCUCAAACUGGAAACUGCAUUCCAUACUGUGUGUCCAGACUAUGGGAAAGUGCACUGUAAUUCCAGGUGUAGCGUAGAAGUGCGUACAUAUCUGGAGGAACAUCGAUGAUUAAAGCGACUCCCUGCCUUAAUACUGACUCUGAGGUGCGAAAGCGUGAGAAGCAAACAGUAAUAGAUACCCUGUAAGGCCACGCCGUAGACGAUGUCUGCUAGUCGUUGUAGACCUUACUGUUUCUAGUGUGAGAACUUAACGCGAUCAGCAGGCCCCCUGGGGAGUACGCGCGCAAGGUUAAAACUCAAAAGAAUUCACGGGGCACCGCACAAGCGGUGGAGCAUGUGGUGUAACUCGAAGCAACGCGAAGAACCUCACCUACUCUUGACAUCCAGGGAACUUGGCAGAGAUGCCUCGGUGCCGUCGGGAAUCCUGAGACAGGUGCUGCAUGGCUGUCGUCAGCUCGUGUCGUGAGAAAUUGCGAUAAGUACCGUACCGAGCGCACGCCUUAUCCUUACAGGGUACCAAAUAGUUGAGACCUCUAGGGAGACCGCCGGUGACAAUCCGGAGGAAUGGCGGGGACGACGUCAAGUCAUCAUGGCCCUUACGAGUAGGGCUACACACGUGCUACAAUGGGGCGCACAGAGGGUUGUGAAGCCUCGAGGAGGAGCCAAUCCCAGAAAACGUCUCGUAGUCCGGAUCGGAGUCUGCAACUCGACUCCGAGAAGUCGGAAUCCGUAGUAAUCGCGGAUCAGAAAUCCGCGGAGAAUACGCUCCCGGGCCU
This 859-nucleotide ribosomal RNA is filed under the name uncultured bacterium. RNAcentral's name for it is "SSU rRNA". It matches the Rfam family "Bacterial small subunit ribosomal RNA", at positions 524 to 1382 of the family's 1533-position model. The record is from RNAcentral.